RNAcentral lists this small RNA (430 nucleotides) under Pan troglodytes (chimpanzee). RNAcentral's name for it is "retained intron". The record is from RNAcentral. Lineage: Eukaryota; Metazoa; Chordata; Mammalia; Primates; Hominidae.
AAAAAGACCAUAAGCAUCUGGAGCACCUGCAAGAGCCUGUGCAUGGGCUCGGCGUGACUGAGAGUCCUCCGCCUGGCCCGAGCAUCAGGCAGGCCCUCCCAAGACCCCUCAAGAUGCUAGAAUGGGACUUUCUGCAAAGUUUAAACAUCUGUACAGGAUUUAGCUUCUUUGGUGGCAAACUUGGAUUGUGAUGCCCUCAGGAAGUCUGGUUUCACUCUUUCUGUCACUGUACGUCGGCAUUCAUGAAGGACUUGUAUUUUCUCUGCCUGGUGAGGUUUGGAGACUUGAAGGAGGACAAGGUGACGCGCCAUGAUGGAGCCAGCUCGGACGGGCACCUGGCACACAUCUUCAGACAUGCGGCCAAGGAGCUGUUCAACGAGGAUGUGGAGGAGGGGCUGCCCUGAGUGGAGUAUUAAAGACACUUAAGAAA